This is a long non-coding RNA of Ictalurus punctatus (channel catfish), 1235 nucleotides long. Lineage: Eukaryota; Metazoa; Chordata; Actinopteri; Siluriformes; Ictaluridae. The record is from Ensembl.
GGGGUUAAUGAGAUGAGUAAAGUUAGACCAGGGUUCCUGUCAUUAAUCAGUAAACACACACACACACACAGACAGGUGGAGCUGAUCAGUAAUUACAGCUGGAACAGUCCCUGUUCUCAUCCAGUCACCAUGUGUUCCUGAGCACAGAGCUCACAUUACUGCUGUCUACUGUUCAACACAGUGAGAGAGAGACAGGGUGAGAGAGAGACGGGGUGAGAGAGAGACAGGGUAAGAGAGAGACGGGAUGAGUGAGACAGGGUUAGCGAGACAGGGUAGGAGAGAGAGGCAGGGUGAGGGAGAGAGAGGGUAAGAGAGAGACGGGAUGAGAGAGACAGGGUGAGAGAGAGAGAGGGUAAGAGAGAGACGGGAUGAGAGAGACAGGGUGAGAGAGAGACAGGGUGAGAGAAACAGGGUAAGAGAGUGACGGGAUGAGAGAGACAAGGUUAGAGAGACAGGGUGGACGGGAGAGACAGGGUUAGAGAGAGACAGCGUGAGAGAGAGAGAUGGGAUGAGAGAGACAGGGUGAGAGAGAGACAGAGAAAUAGACAGAUGGGGUAAGAAGCAUGUGUCUGUUCUUUAAUCACAGACAGUGGCUCAGAUAACAGACACGUCAUCCAACACACACAACUAUUAAUUAAACACAUCAAAGCCUCUCUCUCUCUCUCUCUCUCUCUCUCUCUCUCUCUAUCACACACACACAAACACACAUAUCUGAUAUCGGGAUGAGAGUAAAUUCAUGAUCAGUUAAUGAUAGAUUGUCACUGCUGUAAUGACUUCACAUAACCUUUUACCUCUUUGUCCUCCAAAAAACCUACAGUGAAAAACUCUUUAGUAGACUAAACAGAACCUUCUCCCCUAAGAGCAGUCUCUCACAGGUACAGAACCUUCUCCCCUAAGAGCAGUCCCUCACAGAUACAGAACCUUCUCCCCUAAGAGCAGUCCCUCACAGAUACAGAACCUUCUCCCCUAAGAGCAGUCCCUCACAGAUACAGAACCAUCUCCCCUAAGAGCAGUCCCUCACAGAUACAGAACCAUCUCCCCUAAGAGCAGUCCCUCACAGAUACAGAACCCUGAUAAUUUAUGUUCAUUAAGUAAUAUAAUGAACCGAUACUCUCUAUAUAAAGACUGAUAUGUGAACUGAUAUGAGGACGUGAUGAUGUUUAUAUAUUUACAUAUUUAUCUCCUCAUACGUCCUCAUGUGUUACUAUCAGUUCCACAUAUCACUUUAUUCACAC